This 74-nucleotide transfer RNA is filed under the name Candidatus Zixiibacteriota bacterium. Its description in RNAcentral is "tRNA-Pro". It matches the Rfam family "tRNA". From Rfam's summary of the family: Transfer RNA (tRNA) molecules are approximately 80 nucleotides in length. Their secondary structure includes four short double-helical elements and three loops (D, anti-codon, and T loops). Lineage: Bacteria; Pseudomonadati; Candidatus Zixiibacteriota. The record is from RNAcentral.
CGGGGCGUAGCGCAGUUUGGUAGCGCGUUCGGUUCGGGUCCGACAGGUCCCCAGUUCAAAUCUGGGCGCCCUGA